This 254-nucleotide long non-coding RNA is filed under the name Penaeus japonicus. RNAcentral's name for it is "uncharacterized LOC122266235". Lineage: Eukaryota; Metazoa; Arthropoda; Malacostraca; Decapoda; Penaeidae. The record is from RNAcentral.
UCAUAAUGGUGGGAGUGUUCAUCUGUUAAGUGUCAUCUCACCCAGGACAUGAAUUUCUUUAUUUUCUAACUGUCUCCGCGAGAAAAAGCAGAAAAACUGAAAAAUGGAUGUUGGUGAAGCAGAGUCUGAGGCUAUUGCCCGAGCCUCCCUUCUGGUGGCAAAUAUGCUCCAGAGGCCAGACCAGCUGCAAAAGGUUGACCAGUACAGGAGGCGAGUCCAAAGGAAAAAGGCAUCUGUUGAGGCCAUGUUGAAGA